RNAcentral lists this ribosomal RNA (448 nucleotides) under uncultured bacterium. RNAcentral describes it as "bacterial SSU rRNA". It matches the Rfam family "Bacterial small subunit ribosomal RNA", at positions 328 to 793 of the family's 1533-position model. The record is from RNAcentral.
CUUCCAGACUCCUACGGGAGGCAGCAGUGGGGGAUAUUGCACAAUGGGGGAAACCCUGAUGCAGCGACGCCGCGUGAGUGAAGAAGUCUUUCGGUAUGUAAAGCUCUAUCAGCAGGGAAGAAGAUGACGGUACCUGACUAAGAAGCCCCGGCUAACUACGUGCCAGCAGCCGCGGUAAUACGUAGGGGGCAAGCGUUAUCCGGAUUUACUGGGUGUAAAGGGAGCGUAGACGGCUGUGCAAGCCAGAUGUGAAAGCCCGGGGCUCAACCCCGGGACUGCAUUUGGAACUGCGUGGCUUGAGUGUCGGAGAGGCAGGCGGAAUUCCUAGUGUAGCGGUGAAAUGCGUAGAUAUUAGGAGGAACACCAGUGGCGAAGGCGGCCUGCUGGACGAUGACUGACGUUGAGGCUCGAAAGCGUGGGGAGCAAACAGGAUUAGAUACCCUUGUAU